GAUCCUGGCUCAGGACGAACGCUGGCGGCGUGCCUAAUACAUGCAAGUAGAACGCUGAAGGAGGAGCUUGCUUCUCUGGAUGAGUUGCGAACGGGUGAGUAACGCGUAGGUAACCUGCCUGGUAGCGGGUGAUAACUAUUGGAAACGAUAGCUAAUACCGCAUAAGAGUAGAUGUUGCAUGACAUUUGCUUAAAAGGUGCAAUUGCAUCACUACCAGAUGGACCUACGUUG
This 231-nucleotide ribosomal RNA is filed under the name uncultured bacterium. Its description in RNAcentral is "partial 16S ribosomal RNA". It matches the Rfam family "Bacterial small subunit ribosomal RNA", at positions 15 to 238 of the family's 1533-position model. The record is from RNAcentral.